UGGCUCAGACAGUAAAGCGUCUGCCUGGAAUGCGGGAGACCCAGGUUCGAUCCCUGG
RNAcentral lists this transfer RNA (57 nucleotides) under Ovis aries (sheep). It matches the Rfam family "tRNA", at positions 8 to 63 of the family's 71-position model. From Rfam's summary of the family: Transfer RNA (tRNA) molecules are approximately 80 nucleotides in length. Their secondary structure includes four short double-helical elements and three loops (D, anti-codon, and T loops). The record is from Rfam by way of RNAcentral. Lineage: Eukaryota; Metazoa; Chordata; Mammalia; Artiodactyla; Bovidae.